Molecule: long non-coding RNA, 279 nt
Filed under: Homo sapiens (human)
Lineage: Eukaryota; Metazoa; Chordata; Mammalia; Primates; Hominidae
Description: HSALNT0339789
Source: RNAcentral
CAGAGCUCAGAUGAGACCCAAGUCCAGGGUGCAGCCUGGAAGUCUGAUUCCAGAGGAACAAAGAGACAAAUACCAACGUGGAUUCUGGCAGAGGGGAACAAUGCAGGUGCCCAGUGAGUAAAACUGGGGCACAAGAGGAAGGUUUAAUUACCGGAAAAAGAUAGCAGAUAUACUGCCCCAUGGUUCAGAGACACAGAUACAGACCCACUUCAUGGCAGGAUGCUUACCUUGGAUGCUUACAUUUGGUGUCAAGAUGAAGGGGGGGCCUUUCCUGGAUGU